This 551-nucleotide long non-coding RNA is filed under the name Marmota monax (woodchuck). Lineage: Eukaryota; Metazoa; Chordata; Mammalia; Rodentia; Sciuridae. The record is from RNAcentral.
AGGCUGAGGCAGGAGAAUCACAAGUUGGAGGCCAGUUUCAGCGACUUCUUGAUACCUUGUCUCAAAACAGGCUGGGGAAUGAAGCUCAGUGGUAGAACACUCCUAAAUUCAGUGUCUGGUACUGAAGAAAAGAUAACUAUAGGAACACCGAGUCAGAGGAUACACUUGGGUGGUAGGUUUUAGGAAUUCCUGGCAAACUAAUAGUAAAGAAGCAAAGCAGAUAGCUACAAAAUACCACAAGCACAUUGUAUAGAAGGCGUUGUAUAGAACUUGAAACCGAGGGUCUUCAGAUCUUGGAGGCCUUGACCAUAUGCUGAGGAGCUUGCACUUAUUAUAUUGAUAAUAGGAUCCACUGAAAGAUUUCAAUCAAGGAAACGAUGUCACUUUUAGGGGGAUCUGAUUGUAGUUUGAAAUGGAGGAAAGAGGGUAGCAAAAAGAUAUAGCCCUGAACAAGGGCAGGUAUAAGAACAUUUAAUUGUGAUUAUAUAUGUGUAUAUGUAAAUAUAAAGAUGUACAUGUGUGAUCCAAAUGACAAUAGCAUCAUGACAUAA